RNAcentral lists this ribosomal RNA (1015 nucleotides) under Slaterocoris sp. WCW-2003a. RNAcentral's name for it is "SSU rRNA". It matches the Rfam family "Eukaryotic small subunit ribosomal RNA", at positions 404 to 1292 of the family's 1831-position model. Lineage: Eukaryota; Metazoa; Arthropoda; Insecta; Hemiptera; Miridae. The record is from RNAcentral.
CGGCUACCACAUCCAAGGAAGGCAGCAGGCACGCAAAUUACCCACUCCCGGCACGGGGAGGUAGUGACAAAAAAUAACGAUACGGGACUCAUAUGAGGCCCCGUAAUCGGAAUGAGUACACUUUAAAUCCUUUAACAAGGAUCCAUUGGAGGGCAAGUCUGGUGCCAGCAGCCGCGGUAAUUCCAGCUCCAAUAGCGUAUAUUAAAGUUGUUGCGGUUAAAAAGCUCGUAGUUGGUUCUGCGUGCUACGCUGUCGGUUCGCCGCCUGCCGGUGUAACUGGCAUGCCGUGGCAUGUCCUGUCGGUGGCGUUCGGGUGCCUUGUCUAGGUGAGACCUCCGUUUCGUAAGGGACGGGUGGUUAUUCAACCGGAGGUUUCCCCGUUCGCCUACUCUAUCCUACCUAGGUGCUCUUCACCGAGUGUCGAGGUAGGCCGACACGUUUACUUUGAACAAAUUAGAGUGCUCNNNNGCUCAAAGCAGGCUGAAAUUUCUGCCUGAAUAGUGGUGCAUGGAAUAAUAAAACAGGACCUCGGUUCUAUUUUGUUGGUUCUUAGGAACACGAGGUAAUGAUCAAUACGGACAGGCGGGGGCAUUCGUAUUGCGACGUUAGACUUGGCAAAUGCUUUCGCGGUGAAAUUCUUGGAUCGUCGCAAGACGCACAAGAGCGAAAGCAUUUGCCAAGUAUGUCUUGAUUGAUCAAGAACGAAAGUUAGAGGUUCGAAGGCGAUCAGAUACCGCCCUAGUUCUAACCAUAAACGAUGCCAGCCAGCGAUCCGCCGAUGUUCCUCCGAUGACUCGGCGGGGAGCUUUUUCCCGGGAAACCAAAGCUUUUGGGUUCCGGGGGAAGUAUGGUUGCAAAGCUGAAACUUAAAGGAAUUGACGGAAGGGCACCACCAGGAGUGGAGCCUGCGGCUUAAUUUGACUCAACACGGGAAACCUCACCAGGCCAGGACAUUGGAAGGAUUGACAGAUUGAUAGCUCUUUCUUGAUUCAGUGGGUAGUGGUGCAUGGCCGUU